UACAGAGGUGGCAAGCGUUGUUCGGAAUCACUGGGCUUAAAGGGCGCGUAGGCGGUUGGAAAGGUGCUCUGUGAAAGCCCCGGGCUCAACCUGGGAAGUGCAUUGGAAACUGGGGAACUUGAAUACGGGAGAGGGUAGUGGAAUUCCUGGUGUAGGAGUGAAAUCCGUAGAUAUCAGGAGGAACACCGGUGGCGAAGGCGGCUACCUGGACCGAUAUUGACGCUGAGACGCGAAAGCGUGGGGAGCAAACAGG
This 253-nucleotide ribosomal RNA is filed under the name uncultured bacterium. RNAcentral describes it as "partial 16S ribosomal RNA". It matches the Rfam family "Bacterial small subunit ribosomal RNA", at positions 524 to 776 of the family's 1533-position model. The record is from RNAcentral.